This 499-nucleotide ribosomal RNA is filed under the name uncultured bacterium. RNAcentral's name for it is "bacterial SSU rRNA". It matches the Rfam family "Bacterial small subunit ribosomal RNA", at positions 899 to 1397 of the family's 1533-position model. The record is from RNAcentral.
ACUCAAAUGAAUUGACGGGGGCCCGCACAAGCGGAGGAACAUGUGGUUUAAUUCGAUGAUACGCGAGGAACCUUACCCGGGCUUGAAAUGCAGAGGAAUGAAGUGGAAACAUAUCAGUCAGCAAUGACCUCUGUGUAGGUGCUGCAUGGUUGUCGUCAGCUCGUGCCGUGAGGUGUCGGCUUAAGUGCCAUAACGAGCGCAACCCUUAUCAUUAGUUACUAACAGGUUAAGCUGAGGACUCUAGUGAGACUGCCACCGCAAGGUGAGAGGAAGGUGGGGAUGACGUCAAAUCAGCACGGCCCUUACGUCCGGGGCGACACACGUGUUACAAUGGGUGGUACAGAGGGUAGCUACUUAGCGAUAAGAUGCCAAUCUCCCAAAUCCACUCUCAGUUCGGAUCGGAGUCUGCAACUCGACUCCGUGAAGCUGGAUUCGCUAGUAAUCGCGCAUCAGCCAUGGCGCGGUGAAUACGUUCCCGGGCCUUGCACACACCGCCCGU